RNAcentral lists this ribosomal RNA (460 nucleotides) under uncultured bacterium. RNAcentral's name for it is "partial 16S ribosomal RNA". It matches the Rfam family "Bacterial small subunit ribosomal RNA", at positions 338 to 795 of the family's 1533-position model. The record is from RNAcentral.
CCUACGGGUGGCAGCAGUGAGGAAUAUUGGUCAAUGGACGCAAGUCUGAACCAGCCAUGCCGCGUGCAGGAAGACGGCUCUAUGAGUUGUAAACUGCGUUUGUACGAGGGUAAACUCAGAUACGCGUAUCUGUCUGAAUGUACCGUACGAAUAAGGAUAGGCUAACUCCGUGCCAGCAGCCGCGGUAAUACGGAGGAUUCAAGCGUUAUCCGGAUUUAUUGGGUUUAAAGGGUGCGUAGGCGGUCGGAUAAGUUAGAGGUGAAAUCCCGGGGCUCAACUUCGGAAUUGCCUCUGAUACUGUUAGGCUAGAGCGUAGUUGCGGUAGGCGGAAUGUAUGGUGUAGCGGUGAAAUGCUUAGAGAUCAUGCAGAACACCGAUUGCGAAGGCAGCUUACCAAGCUACAUCUGACGUUGAGGCACGAAAGCGUGGGGAGCAAACAGGAUUAGAUACCCCUGUAGUC